CUUGAGCACCUGCCCCUUUGCCCUUUGGUGCCAAAAGUGCCCUUUUGUCAAAGCAAAAUUUCCUCUAUUUUUUUUUUUUUUUGUAAUAACAUGCCCUUUUGUGAAUGCCUUGUGAACAUGCCCAAUCUAAAUAUUAGUAAAAUUGAUGAAUAAUAAUUUAGCCGUAAAUAAAAUGACCCACAUGAUGACCUUUCACCUGACUACGACGACCUCAUCCGACCGGGACGAUUCCUCACACCGCACGCGCGUUUUUUAAUUGCCAGGGGAUAUUUUCAACACCGCGGCUGCUGUGGUCAAGGAAAACAAUGCACAUCUAGUUUUCCCCAACAUUACUCAGCUGCUGAAGACAUAUGGCACACCUCCGGUGUCCACAGCAACUGUGGAACGUUCCUUGUCAAAACUGAAGCUGGUGAAAACCAAACUUCGCAGCCUUUGCAAAGAGGAGAGAUUGUCUGACCUUCUUCUGUUGGCCACUGAGAAGGACAUUCCAGUAAAUGACAAUGAUGUCAUUAACAUUUUUAGGGACAUGUCCAACAGGAAACCUCUGUUAUAAGUGCCUACAACCACUCAUCCUCCACUUAUAGACACACUGGAGCUGUUAUUGGAAUUCAUUUCAUUUUCCCCUAGAAUCCUAUUGCCUUUGCAAAUUUUUCCAGACAAGGGGAGAUGUGAGGCAUAUUUCAAAUUUAAACAGGAUUCUCUGGGCACCCCUAAUAGCCUAGAUUGGGACCUCCCCAAGGGUUUACUGGGCCCUGAACUGGACCUUGGUUAGGCUGUUGCCAGCUCUCCUCCCUUCCACCCUGAGGAUGCUGUUACUGUUGGAUAGAGAAGCAGAGGAUAUUAUUGAAGAGGAUCAUGCAGAACCUGUGCAAGCACAGCUUUCACUGGCAAAGAAAAGAAAAAGAAGAAGAAGAAGGACACUAGUAGUGAGAGUGAUGAGUUAAACUCUUCAUCAUCUUCUUCCCUCCCUUCAUCUUCAUCGGAAGAUGAAAGAUGCAGCAAAAAAAAAUCAAAAAAGAAGAGAACCCAAAAGAAACGGUCAAGAUCUGCAUUCUCUAGUUCUGCAGUAAGAGCCAGGUGUCCAGAUGAUGUUCUCAAGAGAUACAAAAAAGUUCUCCGUGCGUUUAAAAAGGAAGGAAGCAUGACAAGAGCAUUCAUGAAGGUCGGAGUGGACAGAAACACCCUUGCCCUCACUGCAGUUGUGGCUGAGAUUCAAAUUAUCAGCCCAGAAUUUUAUCGCUCCAUCCCUCAGUUCCAGCCUCGUCAAGAGAAGCUUUUUGAUUUUGCCCUGAGGUGCUCAGAUGCCUUGACAACUGAG
Molecule: long non-coding RNA, 1318 nt
Organism: Cyprinus carpio carpio
Lineage: Eukaryota; Metazoa; Chordata; Actinopteri; Cypriniformes; Cyprinidae
Source: Ensembl